RNAcentral lists this long non-coding RNA (258 nucleotides) under Monodelphis domestica (gray short-tailed opossum). Its description in RNAcentral is "lncRNA (ENSMODG00000036878.1)". The record is from RNAcentral. Lineage: Eukaryota; Metazoa; Chordata; Mammalia; Didelphimorphia; Didelphidae.
CCCUGUAAACUGCAUUUUCCUCAUUAAGAAACCAGAGCAAAGAUUCCUGCAAUACUGUUGACCUAUUAUUCAUCAAGAGGAAUUUUUUUUCUUACUUUAUGAAGCAAUUCUUUGGAAGUUUGGUUGGUAUAACACUGAAUAUGCAAGUUAAUUUAGGUAUUAUUUUCAUUUUUAUUAUAUCAGCUUAGUCUACUAAUGAGCAAUUAAUAUUUCUCCAGUUUUUUAGAACUGCUUUAUUCAUGUGAAAAAGUGUUUUUU